Oreochromis aureus is the source of this 412-nucleotide long non-coding RNA. RefSeq lists it as uncharacterized. Lineage: Eukaryota; Metazoa; Chordata; Actinopteri; Cichliformes; Cichlidae. The record is from RefSeq and is a predicted model, not a curated record. The transcript has 3 exons.
GCAGUUUUGAAUUCAGGAGCGGCAAGAUGGCAGCGGCAAACCCUGGCGGUUCUCCGGAUUCGUUGCAACCACGGAUGGGAAAAUGUGGAGGUUGCACGGCUGAUGUUUACUGUUCGUGGCACAGGAAGAGGCAGUUUCAUUUCAGGAAUGAGUGUGCACAAUCAAAGAAUAGAGCGACUGUGGAGAGACCUCUGGGUGGCCGUUACAUGCAUUUACUACGAUGUUCUUCACAACCUUGAGGAAGAAGGCCUUCUUGACAUUUCAAAUGCUGCACACCUCUUUUGCUGCCAUUACAUCUUUCUUCCUCGACUGGAGGAUGGUUUUAAUACAUUUUGCAGUGGAUGGGACAACCAUCCACUGCGAACAGAAAACAACACGAGUCCCAACCAGCUGUGGGAGUUGUGUCACAGAU